UAAUGUUUGAUGUUCUAACGUGGACCCGUGAUCCGGGUUGCGGACAGUGUCUGGUGGGUAGUUUGACUGGGGCGGUCUCCUCCUAAAGAGUAACGGAGGAGCACGAAGGUUGGCUAAUCCUGGUCGGACAUCAGGAGGUUAGUGCAAUGGCAUAAGCCAGCUUGACUGCGAGCGUGACGGCGCGAGCAGGUGCGAAAGCAGGUCAUAGUGAUCCGGUGGUUCUGAAUGGAAGGGCCAUCGCUCAACGGAUAAAAGGUACUCCGGGGAUAACAGGCUGAUACCGCCCAAGAGUUCAUAUCGACGGCGGUGUUUGGCACCUCGAUGUCGGCUCAUCACAUCCUGGGGCUGAAGUAGGUCCCAAGGGUAUGGCUGUUCGCCAUUUAAAGUGGUACGCGAGCUGGGUUUAGAACGUCGUGAGACAGUUCGGUCCCUAUCUGCCGUGGGCGCUGGAGAACUGAGGGGGGCUGCUCCUAGUACGAGAGGACCGGAGUGGACGCAUCACUGGUGUUCGGGUUGUCAUGCCAAUGGCACUGCCCGGUAGCUAAAUGCGGAAGAGAUAAGUGCUGAAAGCAUCUAAGCACGAAACUUGCCCCGAGAUGAGUUCUCCCUGACCCUUUAAGGGUCCUGAAGGAACGUUGAAGACGACGACGUUGAUAGGCCGGGUGUGUAAGCGCAGCGAUGCGUUGAGCUAACCGGUACUAAUGAACCGUGAGGCUUAACCUUACAACGCCGAAGGUGUUU
RNAcentral lists this ribosomal RNA (741 nucleotides) under Escherichia coli. RNAcentral describes it as "partial 23S ribosomal RNA". It matches the Rfam family "Bacterial large subunit ribosomal RNA", at positions 2208 to 2925 of the family's 2925-position model. The record is from RNAcentral. Lineage: Bacteria; Pseudomonadati; Pseudomonadota; Gammaproteobacteria; Enterobacterales; Enterobacteriaceae.